GUCCUUAUCGUCUAGUUGGUCAGGACUUUGCCCUUUCACGGCAAUAACAUGGGUUCAAGUCCCAUUAAGGAUA
RNAcentral lists this transfer RNA (73 nucleotides) under Haslea karadagensis. RNAcentral's name for it is "tRNA-Glu". It matches the Rfam family "tRNA". From Rfam's summary of the family: Transfer RNA (tRNA) molecules are approximately 80 nucleotides in length. Their secondary structure includes four short double-helical elements and three loops (D, anti-codon, and T loops). Further hydrogen bonds mediate the characteristic L-shaped molecular structure. tRNAs have two regions of fundamental functional importance: the anti-codon, which is responsible for specific mRNA codon recognition, and the 3' end, to which the tRNAs corresponding amino acid is attached (by aminoacyl-tRNA synthetases). tRNAs cope with the degeneracy of the genetic code in two manners: having more than one tRNA (with a specific anti-codon) for a particular amino acid; and 'wobble' base-pairing, i.e. permitting non-standard base-pairing at the 3rd anti-codon position. The record is from RNAcentral. Lineage: Eukaryota; Bacillariophyta; Bacillariophyceae; Naviculales; Naviculaceae.